This 254-nucleotide ribosomal RNA is filed under the name uncultured bacterium. Its description in RNAcentral is "partial 16S ribosomal RNA". It matches the Rfam family "Bacterial small subunit ribosomal RNA", at positions 524 to 776 of the family's 1533-position model. The record is from RNAcentral.
UACGUAGGGUGCAAGCGUUAAUCGGAAUUACUGGGCGUAAAGCGUGCGCAGGCGGUUCGCUGUGUCCUGUGUGAAAGCCCCGGGCUUAACCUGGGAAUGGCAUGGGAAACUGGCGGGCUGGAGUGUGGCAGAGGGGGGGGGUGGAAUUCCGCGUGUAGCAGUGAAAUGCGUAGAGAUGCGGAGGAACACCGAUGGCGAAGGCAGCCCCCUGGGCUAACACUGACGCUCAGGCACGAAAGCGUGGGAGCAACAGG